This 29-nucleotide non-coding RNA is filed under the name Mus musculus (house mouse). Lineage: Eukaryota; Metazoa; Chordata; Mammalia; Rodentia; Muridae. The record is from RNAcentral.
UCCCACCUUCAGAGAGCUCAGAUCCCAUC